UUUCUUAAAACAUGAGUACAUAUGGGCCGUCAAGGCCUCUAACAUACUGUACAAAAUGAACCUCUGUCUUCAAAUCCUCUAAGAGUAUUACACAUUGAAUGAGACAGGGUACCAACCUACCUAUAAGUCUGCAGCAAAAUUUUGACACAAUGACUCAUAAACUCGGCUGUACUCGAAUGAGGUGGAAUCUUACUGAUCCUUCGCUGAAUGCUAACCUCAUCUACUAUGAGGGCUCAUCAAAAAUAUUGUUUAUACCUGCAGUCAUGAAUGCAACGUUCCCAAAAAAAGGGUGUCAGUACGAAUAAUGUACCGAGCGUGUAAGACACAUAAGUAAUUAUAUAAAAGACAUGGAAGAAAUAUGGAGUAAAUAACUCAACCUGUAAGUCCGGAUAACUCUAUAAAUCAAGAAAUACUUAUAGUAUCAUGCAUAUGCGUAUGAAUGUCAUGUCAUGCAUAGGUACAUGUGUUCAUAAUGUCAUCAAGCAUCUGAGGCCGUCCCAUCAUAUCAUCUUGGCCACCGUAGGCAAAAUAAUCAACAUAUACCAGCUGAUCAGGUGGUGGUGCGUAUGUAAUGUCAUAACCUUUUUCCAUAUCCCAUAUACAUAUAUAUACACAUACAUAUAUAUGCGUAUAUAACGACAUCUGGUCAUAGGUCAAUAUACAUGUUAAUAAAUGCAAUGCAUGAAAAGUGCACUAAUAAAAUCUCUCGAAGUGUCAUAAGACCAUUAUACCUUUGAUUAAUAUCCUGAAGUAAACUUUUUCAACUUACAUAUUUUCUGAGACCCAUGAAUAGACAAUAGCAUAAUAAGAUAUAUAGGGAAUCAAGAACAUAGGCCCCUCUAAUACUUCUAUGAAUAGAGUCAUUUAAAGAAUUUGUGCAUUUGCUCGUUUUGUUUGUGUCGUAUAGAUCAUGCCAAAAGAAAAGAAGGGAUAGACUUAACAUACUUGAGCUGAUUUUUUUGACAAUCCCUCUAACACAUGUUGAUUAUGAUAAAAUAUGUAACAACAGAUCAAAGUAGGAGAAAAUGUGUAUGAUAUUCUUUGAGAAAGAUUGCAUCGUACUCCCUUAGAAUCAUAAAAUCCCGUGUUAAAUAGUAUUGUAUGAAAUGUUUGAAGCAAUUAUGUUUCCAUUAAAAAUUAACAUCUUUGUUGAAGCUUUCUCACUUAAAUUAGUAGAGAUGAUCAAAACUGUUUUGGUGCAUUAGAUAAGUUAUUUUAAUCCUUUACAUGUGGGUCCCACUAGGAUGACUCAUCCUUGCCUAAAGGCCUCUUAUUUGGCCACCUUCCCAUAAUAACCUAGGAGCCAUUAGGUUAGGGUGAUUGGCGGCUACAUUUGGGGCGGGAGGGGGUGGGAGAGGGGUUUAACCUUAUCGAAAUUAUCUUAAUUACGUAAUUAUCUUAAUUACUUAAUUAAUUUCCCACUAAAAAUUUAUAAUUAUCUCGUUAUCCAUGUAAUUGAAAAUUAUCUUAGAUUACCUAAAAUACAACUUUCUAUUAAUACAAUUUAUACAUUUACUAUCAUGGUCAUGUGGUACCUUGUAUGGUACUAGUCCACAAAUCUAAGUAUUACAGCUUGGACCGUAUUUUAUUCUAAAUUGUCAAACUUUGACGGAACUCAUUUUAUUCAAUUUGUUUAACCUCUCACCUUCAUGAAUUUAUUUGUCACUUGUUUGAAAUAGCAUAACACUUAUAAUCUCAAAAUAAUCUCAUUCCCGAACUUACGUUGAUUAAUUUACGACAAACAUUUAACAUAUAAAAAUGCGAAAUACAUCCCAUUCCAAACUUUUAUCAAUUUACUUAUGGCGUACUUUCAUGUACUAAAACAUGGGGUGUAACAUCAUUCCCCUCCCCCUUGGAAUAUUAAUCCUCGAAUGUUACUGAUGCACUUAUCAUUUUCAUAACCAAUAGUUCUUGCGAAUACUUUAGUACUCUUCUUUCAAUCUAGGCAACUAUUAUGUGAAUAAAUCCAAAGGCCAGAUCAUUCCUUCCCUUUUAGUCAUCUUUUCACAUCACGGUUUGUAGUCGGAAUCCUUUCUAUCUCGUAAAUAUUGUUACCUUUUAAUAUGCAGCCUGUACGACUCUAACCCGGUAAGUGUACCUAUGCGACUUUUCUUUCCUUUUUCCUCUAGUUUUUAAGCCAAUCUCUAUGCAUCAAUUUGUAACCAUAUACCGAGCUUGACAAGAUAUCCUUUUUGGCAUUUAUAGGCAUACUGAAGUUCUUUGCUUGGUACUUUGUUGAACUUUAUGAAUAUUGAUAUAUCUUGUUUCAGAUACCCAGUUAUCUAUCCGUGCGAGUUUACUGCAUCUAGAUUGGUCAUACUAUAUUAUAACUCUUACUUCGAUUACUACCAAACUCCAGGUUACUCUUGUUGCUUAUCCUAUAUGUAUAAAUAUAAGUCACUCUUCUUGCUUGUCCUAUAUGUAUAAAUUUAAGUCCUUAAUGCUUCUUCAUUACUACUCAUCUUAAGAAUGAUGGCCUAUUCUCAGCUCAUAGUUUGUAACUUUAAUCCCUCCAUUGUUAAUUUACCUCAAUAUUGAUAUGAAAUCUACUACUGAUAACUUGAAACCUCUUACGUAUUAUAUUAUCACUAGGGCUUACGUCUCAUCGGGGAAUAUCUGAAGUGGCUUGCCUAAUCGUCUUAGGGGAGAUACUAUACUUCAAUAACCGUAUUUCAUAGCAUCCCAAUGAGAUUCAUCUUACGUGGUUAUUUUAAUCUUAUAUAUUCAUGAUUCCCUUUUUUUUCCCUUCAAAUCAUUAGUCAAUUGAAGGACCAAAUGCCAUCCUUUAUCUAUCAAAAUAAAACCUUAUUUUUACUAUCAGAGCAGCAUUCGAUCUCUUCUAAAUGCUACUUACUCUUUCGAGUUCAUUCAGGCUAUACUGAGCUUUCUAUAACUUAGAGAAACCAUCAGCUCUCUUGUUUCAUUGGCUUAAUCCGGAGGACUUAUCCAUUCCCGUACCUUCUCACUCGUCGUUUCUUAUCCUUACUUCUGUCUUUUUAAAACAUUAUUGCUUUACUAUACUUUAGCUUACAACCUACACAUAUCUAUUUAUAUUAUUCGUCACCUUCCUUCAAAUUGCUCGCACUAUAGAUUUUCUUAUGUUAUUUUGGGAUAUCAAGCAAGACAUCACAUCGUCUCCAACUCUUCUUUGCUCCGGAGUUUCUUAUUUGGUCAGUAUGAUUUGGACGUGUAUUGUUUAGUAUGGUGGGGCCCUGACCCGACCUUUAUGAUAUUUAUCUACUUAUAGAGUCUUGUAGACAUAUGUCAUGUACGUAAAAGAUUGUAUGGCAUUGUCGGCCUAUGUUUAAUUUAAAAGUGAUUAUUUCGGUCUUAUAGACCCGUAUAACUAUGUAUAAGUUGGUAUUACAUGUUUUAUUAUAGUUAUCUUAUGACAAGCUUUCCCUCUCAUUUAACUGUGAUAGCAUGCUAUGGAAAGUUAUGUUAUAUUCGUACUCAUUCGUGUAAGGUAUCUGAUACCCGUCGCGACCUAUCAGUUUGGGUUGAUGGAAUGAAUACUAAUAAAUACAUCCAACUGAGCAUGUAUAUCACGUAUGCUGACAUGUCAACAUAUCAUAUGAUAGAUCAUUUAUUGCAUGACUGUGUUAUUUGUGGGUCCCACUAUUAAUAAAAAAUUUUAUUUUAUUUUUUACUUUUUUCCCCACUCUAACACCUCCUCCUCCCCCCUCCGAAAAAAAAACUAGUAAAAGAAGAUACUGCCGAAAAACCCUUCAACCAACCCCCAAAUCCAAGAAAUUAGCCACCUUCCUUCAACUAUAUUCUACUUCUCUUAUUAUUUAUGUUAAAUUCAAUCAGAAAUAGAAUCUUUGACAACCAAAAAACCUCAAUGGUUGCGAUCUCCAAUUCGCAAACAACUAACCACAUAUCUUUUCUAAAAGUCCCAGAUCAUAAGAGAUACGUAAAAUCACAUACCUUCAGAUCGAAUCUUGACAGAAAACUCCCAAUUGCUCCGUGUCGUCGCUUAAGUUCAAAAGUCAUAGCAUUUCUUUACUCAAACUACUUACUAUAUUUGAGAAAUAAUGAGAAAUGAGAUGAGAAAUAUUUUAAAGAUAACGAAAAAAAAUUGGAUAGCAAAUGGAGGGGACUGAUGGGAGAUAACUAGGGAG
Molecule: long non-coding RNA, 4124 nt
Filed under: Nicotiana benthamiana
Lineage: Eukaryota; Viridiplantae; Streptophyta; Magnoliopsida; Solanales; Solanaceae
Description: long non-coding RNA (NBEN_LNC027669)
Source: RNAcentral